GAUGAACGCUGGCGGCGUGCCUAAUACAUGCAAGUCGAGCGAACAGACGAGGAGCUUGCUCCUCUGACGUUAGCGGCGGACGGGUGAGUAACACGUGGAUAACCUACCUAUAAGACUGGGAUAACUUCGGGAAACCGGAGCUAAUACCGGAUAAUAUAUUGAACCGCAUGGUUCAAUAGUGAAAGACGGUUUUGCUGUCACUUAUAGAUGGAUCCGCGCCGCAUUAGCUAGUUGGUAAGGUAACGGCUUACCAAGGCAACGAUGCGUAGCCGACCUGAGAGGGGGAUCGGCCACACUGGAACUGAGACACGGUCCAGACUCCUACGGGAGGCAGCAGUAGGGAAUCUUCCGCAAGGGGCGAAAGCCUGACGGAGCAACGCCGCGUGAGUGAUGAAGGUCUUCGGAUCGUAAAACUCUGUUAUUAGGGAAGAACAAAUGUGUAAGUAACUAUGCACGUCUUGACGGUACCUAAUCAGAAAGCCACGGCUAACUACGUGC
This 498-nucleotide ribosomal RNA is filed under the name uncultured bacterium. RNAcentral describes it as "partial 16S ribosomal RNA". It matches the Rfam family "Bacterial small subunit ribosomal RNA", at positions 28 to 508 of the family's 1533-position model. The record is from RNAcentral.